RNAcentral lists this long non-coding RNA (9355 nucleotides) under Capsicum annuum. RNAcentral describes it as "long non-coding RNA (CANN_LNC001216)". Lineage: Eukaryota; Viridiplantae; Streptophyta; Magnoliopsida; Solanales; Solanaceae. The record is from RNAcentral.
CUCAAUUAGAAGGCAAGACUUUCAUGUGUUGAAAGCAAGCCUCCACGUUUGUAAACAAAAAACUUUUGAAUAUUUAAUAAAAAAUAAAUAUAUUUCAAAGCAAAAGCUAUGGAUGAACAAAGCCCAGAAUUAUCAAAUCUACCAGAACAGGUAUAUUUAUUUAUGGUUAUGAAUAGCUAAAUUCAUAAAUUCCUGACAAUCAUGAUAUGAUAAAAUAAGUUCAUGUUAAUUACUUUAUAGUAGAAUUAUUCAAAAAAUAGCAUGUUAAGAUGUUUAUUAGCAAAGUGAAAAAGGGAAAAAAAUUCCUAAGAACUAUGUCAUCCUAAAGGUGAAAUCGGUGAGGCAAGAAAGCUGUGAUGGGGAGUAGCCAGAGUAGAGGCAUUGUUUAAGGAAAAAGUAUUCAGAUUACCAUACUAAUAGUGACCGAAGAAUAUGUUAUUUAAGAAUAAUCUAGUACAUAGUAAUCUAAAAUGAUCAUAUUUUGUUAUGUGUAUGAUUGAAGGGAAUAUUCUGAAAAAACAUCAUAUGAAAAAUGAAUACUUAUUUAUCUGACGAAAUGAUAGAUAAAUUUAAAAUACUUGUUUUGUAUGUACUUAAGGAUAUAGAAAUUGUAGAUAUAAGAAAAAUCAUAUUGGAAAAAAUAUUUGAUAAAUAUUUUAUGACUAGAAUAAAUUACAUACCUCACCUACCUAACUACUCUUAUAAAUACUUACAUACCAAACCUACACAUCAACCAUGAUAAAUUACGUAUAUUUAGAAUAUUGAAAAAUGGAUAUGAAAAAUAUACAAUUAAUAAAAAAAUUAAUGAAAACAAAUUUAGAAUAAUAUAUGAGAACCAGAGAUAUAAAAUAUAUAAACUCCCUUAAUGAAAAUAUAGAGGAAUUAAUAAGAUUAAAACAAACAAUUAAAGAAUAUUAUGAAAAAAUAUUUAAUUAACCCNNNNNNNNNNNNNNNNNNNNNNNNNNNNNNNNNNNNNNNNNNNNNNNNNNNNNNNNNNNNNNNNNNNNNNNNNNNNNNNNNNNNNNNNNNNNNNNNNNNNNNNNNNNNNNNNNNNNNNNNNNNNNNNNNNNNNNNNNNNNNNNNNNNNNNNNNNNNNNNNNNNNNNNNNNNNNNNNNNNNNNNNNNNNNNNNNNNNNNNNNNNNNNNNNNNNNNNNNNNNNNNNNNNNNNNNNNNNNNNNNNNNNNNNNNNNNNNNNNNNNNNNNAAAGAUUAAUUUGGAUAAAUAAAACCAUAAAACAACUAGAAUUAAAAGACCGUUUAGAAUAUGAUUUAGACAUGGAAUUAUUCAUAGACGAAAAAGACAGGAUAAUUAACGAAAUAGAUAACCUUGAAUUUAAUAUCAUAUAUAGUACAAUUAGAAUAAAUUAUUACAAAAAAAAUUGUAGUAUCACAACUACUUUAGGAUAAAAUGAUAGACUAUGAGUAUUUAAAAUAUUGGAGACAAGAUAUGAAAGAAAUAAAAUUAACAGAAAUACUUAUGAAAGAGAGUUUAAUUGAAUAUUUUAGAACAAAAGAUAUAGAAUAUUUAGAAUACCUCCAAAAUAAUAUACAAGAAUUACAAAGACUAAGACAAAAAACUAAAGAAUAUUACAUUAAAGCAUUUAAUCAAAUACCAUUUAAUUACCCCCAAGAUAUGAACAUUAAUAAAAUUAAAAUAAAUACACUAAAAAUAAAAAUGUUUAGAGAAGUUAAGAAAUAUUCACGCACAAAUAAAAAUAGAUCCAUUAGAACUAUAAUAGAUCUAUUUAUUAUUAGAGAAGUUAAAAAAUAUCCAACGCACAAAUAAAAAUAGAUUCAUUAGAACUAUAGUAGAUUUCUAUUUAUUACCCAAGUUAUCCGCACCCCCCUACAAUUAAGAUAAACUCUCAAACCGCGGAUCAUUAAUGUUGUGGUAAGUACUCCUUCAUCUCUAAUCAAAAUUUUACAGGUUGGAGUCUCUUUGAUAGAGAAUUAGUUCUCUUUGUGUUUCGCUAGGCACUAGAAUAUCAAGUCAAUUUGAUUGGAUUUUCUCGAAGAGAAAUAAAUAAAUAGUCGAUUUAUUCCUUUUUUUUUUUCACAAAAAAGGGAUAUACUACAAGAAAAAUGAUAGUCAAAUUAUAAUUAUGCAAUAUUGCAAGUAUAAGAUUCUUGAGAGAGAUGGAGGGGGGUAGAUUAUUUGACUGAUGAGAGGAUGAAAGCAAAAUUUGAUGUGAAUGUGAUGAAUUAUUUUUGAAAUUCUUGCACCAUUUUAAAUUUAUUAUUUACAAUGUAAAAUUUAUCUUACGUAUUUUGAUAUAAAUGUAUCAUGCACGUUCUCGUAUCAAUGUUUGAUAGUUGAAUAAUAUAGAACAACUUGAAAUUUUAAAAUUAUGAAAAUAACCUAGAAAAAUAUUGUAAGUAGAAUGAUUCAAAACUUAUUUUGAUAUUCCAAAAUAAAAACGUUUUCAUAUAAAUUCAUAACGAGAGAGUAGUGUAUAUUAGUUUAUGGACUAUGAUAGAGAUGGACUUUACGAUAAAAAUGUCAAUCAUUGACAUAUUACUUUCCCCACCAUAGAGAAAAAGAAACUAAAGAAUAACUUUCAAUUUCAAUUAAGAAUAAACACAUGGUUCACUAAUCACGAUUAAUAAUGAAACUUUCCCGUAAUGCUUGUAUAAUGUCCACUCGAGGACAAUUUGUAUGGUUUAGAUUGAAGACAACCCCUUAGAUUAAUUCGAAUAGUCAUUGAAAAUUUUGUCAACUACAAGUAUCAUGGAAUAAAAAGAGAAAAGUGAGGUAAUUGGAACAAUAAGAAACUUUCGUUGAUAUCAUUUUCAUAUCCAAAAACUUCAGUGGGCAAUUUAGCCAAAAAACCAAAGAAUAUAAUUUAGGAAAAAACGCAAACCACGUAACAGUAACAGAAAAGUGUUGGGGCCAACUUUUUAGUCCGCCACGCCUACUAAAAUAGAAAAUAUAACCCCAACUUAUUUUGCUCUCUUAUCCGAGACACUUUGGUUUUUUUUGAGGGGGAGAGGAUAAAAUAAUAUAAUUUUGAGAUAAAAUAUAAAAUUAUUUUAUUUUAUAUUGAUUAGAAUUAUUAGUUAAUUUUUAUUUAUUUAUUACAUCAGUAACGAGAUAAAUUAUCUCAUAUACAUUAUAAAAUAAUUUGCUUUAAAAUAACAUUUUUAGAAUUAGUUAUUUUUAUAAUAUUAUUUUUAUUUUAUUUUAAAAAUAAAAUAAUUAAUUAUAAUAAUUAAUUUUAAAAUAAUUAUCUCAAAUAACUUAUUUUUCUAUCAAACGAGGCCUUACUCGUUGCCCGUUUGCUGGCUAGGCCCAUCCCAAUAACUUCUUGAAUAAAUAAAUAAAAUUUUAUUUUCUCAAACCAAAGACGGAUCCAUCUUCAUAAAUUAUCAAUAUGAGGCUUUCCACACCCUUUUCUCAACAUGCUCAGGAUUAGAUAUUUAUAAUGUUUCAUGUAAAGAAGUAUAUUUUAGGUUUAUUUUUAAUUUCAAAAAGCUAAUAUGUGAAUUAUAAAUUAUUCAAAAUCAUAUAAAGAGAUGGUCAUAUGUUAACCCUGAUGUAUAACCCUUCAAAUCUCACCCACAAAAUUAAUAAUCCAUUACCAUUGUAUUUCCACUACCUUUUCCAUCUUAAAAACACUACUAAAUUGUCAUCGUCAUUUUUUUUUCUUUUUCUUCUUCUCGGCGAUGGUAUCUACGUUAGUACACGUAGAUGUGGUAUGAUAUUGAAACUUUGAUUCAAAAAUAUUAAUUUUUUUAAAAAAUAUAUCACUAUCAUAUUAAAUUAAUUUAAUAAAUAUUCAGUAUUUUAAAGAUCAAUUUUGAUAUUUUAUGGUUCGAUAAAACAGGAAUCAUAAUUUGUUCGAUUUAGAAAUUUAUAUACUUAUCUAAUAGAGAAUUAUAACUUUGACUUUAUAAUGAACGUCUUAAUUAUACCGUACUAACAUUUUAUGCAUGUAGAAAUAUUCAAAAGAAAGUAUAAGAAAUUUUCUUCAUUAAUGAAUUACACACAAAAAAAUAUUUUAAUCAAAAUAGAGUCUGAGUCAAAAUUUCAAUAUCUAAAUAACUAGUUUUAUAUUAAUAUAAAUUAUAUUUUAUAUAUUUUCUUGUGUUGAACUAAUAUACACAUGAAUUUAUUGUAAUUAUAUACUUUGAUAUUGGAUUCAAUAAUUUUUAAAAAUAAAUAUCAAAUAUUAAAAUUUUAUAAAAUAGAGAGCAAAAUAUCAUAUUAGUGAAAUUAUGUUACCAAAAUUUUUAUUCAAUAUGUAUCAUAACAUGCACAUCCAUGUCAGUAGAAUUUUUAAUCAAAAUUAUAAGAAUCAAGUACAAUUUCAUUGAUUAAUACAUAAGAAAAUAAAUGGUACCUCAAUUCGCUAUCUUAAUAAAGAAAAAGAAUAUUAGACAUAUAUAACUAAAAAAUAUAACAAAUAUUAUAUAGAUUGGGAUGAUGAAAGUUGCAUUUUAACCAUCUCAAAUAUCUCUAUAGACAUGAAGAUAAACUUUAGAGACACUAUAUAUUUACUCAAAUCAAAUAUGUUGUCCAUGUCAUUAUCAUUUCAUUUUCUCACGUAAAAUUUAAAUACAUUCAUCAUACAUCGAAAUCAGAUAUAAUUCCAAUUAACACUAUAUCACAUCAACAACUUUAAAAUGUUCAAUAAAAUUCAAAUUGUUUGUUCAGUUUAUCCUACAUUGCCAAAUUUAAAAAGUAAAAUCUGUUAUGAAUGUAUUUACAUUAUAGUGAAUGUUUAUCAAGAAUAUAGAUAAGAUCUAUCAAGAUCUAGUUGAUGUCUAUCAGGAUUGAAGUAUUUAUCUUUUAAAGAGAAAUUAGGAAUAUUUUUUCUUAUAAAUAGAGGGUUUUGUUCAUUGUAUCCUCAAUGAUCUCUCAUCCCUCAAGAGAAAUAAUAAUUAUUCUCUCUUCUUUCUUUACUCUUCGUCAUUAUUUUUUAUUUUAUACUUCAUAACACGUUAUCGGCACGAGUCUCUAAUUAUAUUUGAGUUAAUUAGGCCAUUGGACAAACCGUCCCAAAGAUAUCAAAGAUAUUAACACAAACAAUUGUUGGCAAGGAUGGUCCUUUUCAAAAGCAAAGUAUUUAUAUUAUAUUAUAUUAUAUUAUAUUAUAUUAUAUUAUAUUAUUAUAUUAUAUUAUAUUAUAUUAUAUUAUAUUAUGCAAGAGAUUGUUCAGUGGUUUUAAUAAUUUGUUUAUGUUUUAUUUUAUCAAAAAAAUCAUAUUCAUAUAUGGUUUUUAAUUCAAAUUUUGGAAUCGUCCAUUUAUUUAAUAAAUCCAUAUCUUGAGGUAAAUCUACCUUUUCGAGUUUUGUACUCUUAGUACUGACUUCGCCCAUAUCCAUGAUUAUAAAAGCCUUAUACCUAUGCUGAAAACUUCACCACACUUAACAUAAUUACUAUGAAAGUUCCUAGGCUCUAAUACCAUUAACAGGAUCUCACUAGGCUGGGGUAUGCCGCUCAACCUGCCAAACCAUGUAACAAUAUUGGAUUACGCCAAAGUUGGAAAACUGAACCAAAGCACCAACCGAAAUAUAAAAGAAUUUCAAAUAGUUUAAUGAUUGUAUGAAAUCUUUUAUCUAAACAGGGGGCCUACUAGAGAUUUAAUAGUCUUAUGUUAAACCCAUGUGUCUAGAAGUUCUAAUUGUGCAAAAGUCGCCCUUUUCGCAUCAGUACAAUGGGCUAAAGAGGCACAAUUUACUAGACGUAGUCAUAGAGAGAAAGCUAACAUAAGUGUAUUAAAGUCGACUAUACCACCAUUUUGGAACCAAGUCAAGAAACUAUAGAAAAAUUCCUUCAUAUUUUGAUAGAGUCUAGACCUUUCAUAGUUACCAUGUAAACGAAGUUAGAUUUUCAACAUAGAUAAAGAAGCCUUUUAACUGACAUAGUCAUGGCUGGACGAGGGUAGAAUUUGUAUUAAAUACACACAAAUAAGAAAAUAAUAUGUACCUUAAUAGCCAGAAGCAAGACCUAAAGAUAUUAAAAAACAGUGGCUAGUGCCUUUUUAUUUAUCUUCGAGAUAUAUUUUACAAGAGGGAGGAUCUAGAGAGAAGGGAGAGCUUUUGGAGAUAAAAAAUGAAAAGAAAAACUUGUUUUCCAAUGCCCAUACUUACUUUCGGAUUAAUCCAUAACCCUACUAAGAAAGGUGUAUUUAUAACAUCUAAACUCUCCUAAAUGUCUGCAUUUUAAACUAUUAAGGAGAGUUCUAAUGUUUUCAUAUUGAUUGAUAAAUCUACCUCCUAAAUAUUCAAUUAUUAUAAGCAUAAGGGUAUAAACAGCAUCUGGUCGACCUGCCCGUAGCGGUCGACCGAAAUUAUCUUUACUUGGAUUAUCAUUAGUGGCAUUAAAAAUAGCUUCGCAUUUAUCAUCAUCUAGGAAAUUAUCCCACCAGCCUCGAAGUAGGCCAGUAAAGCCCGCAACAAUCAUUUUGCAAAUUGUUGGGUCAGUACUGUUGAUCCGAUUCUCUGCUGAUGCAUUAGUUGUGGCAAUAGUAGAGUACAUUGACAUAUGGUGGAUAAGAAUAGAGAUUUGUCGGUCUGAUAAUCCAUCAAUAUUCCAUUCAUAAAUAGCAUCCCCACUACAAGAAGUAUUUGUUUGAUUCCAAUCCAUUUUCUCUAUCAAAACAUCUUGAGAAGUUGGACGUGGAUGAUACGCAGUGGACAUACGGGGAAUGUCAGUAUAUUUUUUCCCCGAUUGUUUUCUAACCAUACCUUUGAGCUUAUUUAGAUUGGAAGAGAUAGUAUCACCUACGUUUUGAAUAGAUUCUAUAUUAUCAGCAAAAUUAGACUCGAGUUUUUGCACAAAAUCAUCAGAUACAUCAAGAGGUUAUAUGUUUAAACAAGAGAAUUUUUUAUCUAAAAGUUUUUCUAAUUGUUCUAAUUGAGAAUUUUUUUCAAAUCCUUCAAUUUCAGGCGGUCUUUGAAUACAAGGUUUAGAUAAAAUAUAUCAUUCUUCUUCUUUGAUUUCGAAAGUAGAAGGAAUAUUAGAGGAAUCCAUCUGCUCACUAAGUUUUUUAACUAACUCAAUUAAUUCGUCAAGUUUUUUAUUUAGAGAUGAAAUAUGUUCUUCUAAAACUUUAACAUAUAGACUCAAAUAAUUAUUUUGGGUGAUAAGGUUAUUUAUUUCAUAAACAGUGAUUUUUCCAACAUCCUCAUCAACAAACUUUUGAAAAGCAGAAAAAGUCAUUCCAGUAUUAUUAGGUAAUACGAAGGAAUACUGAGGAGGCUACAUGGCUUGAAUAAUUGUACCAUCAGAAUUUUGAUAAGAUCUUUCAAUAAUUUUUACAUAGGACGGCAAAUAUGCAGACAUAAACCAUGGCACAAAAAAGAUAAUUUUACUAUGUAAGACACAUAUUUCAUAGAAUUCUUCAGAUAUAUUUCGUAAUUCAUCAGGACUAUAAGUUUCAAAAAAUCAUGUCCUAAAGGUUUUCCAUUUUUCACAAAGAAAUUCUUUUUGAAAUAUAAAAGAAUUUUAAAUAGUUUGAUCACUGUAUGAAAUCGUUUAUCCAAACAAGGGGCCUGUCUGAGAUUUAAUAGCCUUAUGUUAAACCCAUGUGUCCAGAAGUUGUAAUUGUGCAAGAGUCGCCAUUUUCAAUCAGUACAACGGGCUAAAGAGGCACAACUUACUAGACGUAGUCACAGAGAUAAAGCUAACAUAAGUGUAUUAAACUCGACUGUACCACCAUUUUGGAACCAAGUCAAGAGACUAUAGAAAAAUUCCUUCAUAUUUUGAUAGAGUCUGAAUCUUUCAUAGUUACCAUGUAAACAAAGUUAGAUCUUCAACAUAGAUAUAAGAAGCCUUUUAGCCGGACAUAGUCACGACUGGAUGAGGGUAGAAGUUGUAUUAAACACACACAAAUAAGAAAAUAAUAUAUACCUUAAUAGUCGGAAACAAGGCCUAAAAAUAUUAACAAACAGUGGCUAGUGCCUUCUUAUUUAUCUUCGAGAUAUAUUUUACAGGAGGGAGGAUCUAGAGAGAAGGGAGAGCUUUUGGAGAUAGAAAAUAAAAAGAAAAACUUGCUCCUCUUACAACUGAAUGAGGUAUCUUUAAAUAGGAAAAGAAAAAAAAUUUGCACAGUACUAGGUGGGUCCCUGUGCAUAGCAUAGUAAAAGUUUUUAAUAAUUUAGCUGUUGGGUUCCGCCUGAUCUUUGCCUUUUCAUUUUCUGAUAAAUGCUUCAACUUUUUCAAUAACUUCAUCUGUUUCACCCAUAACUUCUGGAGGUUGAGACUUUGUAAUAUCUUCAGUGUUUACUUCAUCACUUUUCAUUGAUGUAUCUGAAUUUUUUUCAAUCGUUUGGAGUAAUUUAUGUCGUACCUCUGCUAAGUAUUGUUCGAUCAUCUCCAUUUUAUUUCCAUCGUGAGCUGAUAUUCUUUUGGAAACAUAAUUGAGACUUUUAUCUUCAACUAAAAUUGAUUUUUGAGGAGUUUGUUCAUAUUCAGCAAUUCUUUUGAUGAUAUUUUCUCGUGAUCAUGUCCAUAUGUGAGUUUUGUAUUUGGAUCUUCACGUGUUAGCUUGUCCCAAAAAUUGCAAUAAAUAUUCUGUAUAAAGAAGGAAUUUUUUGGCUAGUAUAACCUAUUUCAACUGACCAUCUAUGAAUCCAAGGGAUAGAGAAUUCUAUAAAGAAAUACAUUUGAUCAAUAGUGUCGAUCUUACAAAUAUGUUCAGAAAGGUAUAAUUCAGUCAAGAAGGGUGAGGAUUUUUUCCAUGUAUGAUAAAGAGAAGAAUAUUCUAGUGGUAAUAUUUUAACGGUAAGUCCGUGAUAAGUCCACCAUUGCACAAAUAAAUUGGGAAUGGGCUUAUCAAAAAACCUCGGCACAAAUUUUUAUAAACCAUGUAUGUUUGUGUUUAAUAUUAUUGUAAUAUAAAACAUGAGAAAAUGCCUUAAUGUAAUCCCAAUAUGUGAAAUUUAUCUGAGACUGUCCCAUUGGUCCCAUAGGCAUAGAUUUUUGAGUCAUAGAUGAAAUUCUCCAUUCUUCAAUAGAAAUAAGUCUUUUCACAAUCAUCUUGGAGUAUCCAUCUACACUUGGGGUAGUGUCUCCCAUUGGACUGUGAUCAAAACCUGCACCGAAUGUAUGAACUAGAAUAUUUUCAUAAAAAGUUCGUAUUUUAUAUGAUUUUCCUGUGAAAUAAACAUUAGUAGUUAAGUAUUUUUGGAGUAAUCGCCAUGCUUCUUCAGAAUUUUCUUGUCCAGGAAUAUGCGGAUUUUUAAUAAGUAGGAUGAGUUCUCUAGCAUCCAAUUUCUCAUAUGUGGGUUUAUUUUCAGAGUUUUCUUGGACUAUAGAUGCAAAUGAAUCGGCAAAUUUUUGCAGAUCGGAUAAAUAAGAUUGAAGUUGUUUGUACAAAGGAUGAUCUUCUGGAAUAUCUUUCAAAUUAAU